This 712-nucleotide long non-coding RNA is filed under the name Phoenix dactylifera (date palm). Its description in RNAcentral is "long non-coding RNA (PDAC_LNC003966)". The record is from RNAcentral. Lineage: Eukaryota; Viridiplantae; Streptophyta; Magnoliopsida; Arecales; Arecaceae.
UUAAGUUUAGUCGUUCAAAAGCAUGUCCAUAUAUUAGAAUAAAGAAACUAUUAUUGUUCAAAGGUUAAAAAACAAUUUAAUAAAUGCACAUCUUAGCUUGUGAAUUAUGUAUCUUGUGACAAGCUAGUGUACCUUUAUGGGCCAAUGCUUACCAUAUAUUGGCAUGGUAUAACAUAAUAAAUCAACCAUGCAGCCCCUAGCCAAGUAAGGCACAUGCACGAUAUUUUGGGGGUUGCCAAGUUGCAAUCAAGGGAACAAGUAGGCAUCAAAAUUCAUGUCCAGCAUGAUGUAAAAUCAAUUUUGAUUCAACCAAAGCCCAUGGCCCAACCUUGUGGGUCUGUUUCAGGUCUUAAACCUUCUACUCGACCGCACUCUACAAGGGCCACUACGAACUGGAUCAGCAGCAGUAGAUUUCAUUCUAUAUGAACUGGAUCAACUGCAGUAAAUUUCAUCUACUCACCAAAAGAUAGUUCAAAACAUAAGAGUCUGAUCUGCAAAUGCCAAAGCUAAGUGAAGCAUAAACAGAAAUUGAUCCAACUAUAACCUGAAUAUCUUCACUAUGUGCUCAAUUUUGGGUCCAAAUCAACACUAACCAACCAAUUCUGGUCAAGUAUAACCAAUGCCAUAAUCAAGUCGUGGCUGACCCAUUAAACUUGCAGUCUAUUGGUAGUUAAGUCAUUUCAUGUUAGGUCCAUGCAACGGAUAGUGCUUN